Sclerotinia nivalis is the source of this 83-nucleotide non-coding RNA. The record is from the annotation of a GenBank genome assembly. NCBI's taxonomy places the organism in Eukaryota, Fungi, Ascomycota, Leotiomycetes, Helotiales, Sclerotiniaceae.
GCUGUGAUGGCCGAGUGGGUAAGUCACACAUAGUUCUCCACUUGAAAUCGAAAGAUGCGAGGGUUCGAACCCCUCUCGCAGCA